Molecule: ribosomal RNA, 465 nt
Filed under: Vreelandella stevensii
Lineage: Bacteria; Pseudomonadati; Pseudomonadota; Gammaproteobacteria; Oceanospirillales; Halomonadaceae
Description: partial 16S ribosomal RNA
Rfam family: Bacterial small subunit ribosomal RNA
Source: RNAcentral
CCUACGGGCGGCAGCAGUGGGGAAUAUUGGACAAUGGGGGCAACCCUGAUCCAGCCAUGCCGCGUGUGUGAAGAAGGCCCUCGGGUUGUAAAGCACUUUCAGUGAGGAAGAACGCCUGGUGGUUAAUACCCAUCAGGAAAGACAUCACUCACAGAAGAAGCACCGGCUAACUCCGUGCCAGCAGCCGCGGUAAUACGGAGGGUGCGAGCGUUAAUCGGAAUUACUGGGCGUAAAGCGCGCGUAGGUGGCUUGAUAAGCCGGUUGUGAAAGCCCCGGGCUCAACCUGGGAACGGCAUCCGGAACUGUCAAGCUAGAGUGCAGGAGAGGACGGUAGAAUUCCCGGUGUAGCGGUGAAAUGCGUAGAGAUCGGGAGGAAUACCAGUGGCGAAGGCGGCCUUCUGGACUGAUACUGACACUGAGGUGCGAAAGCGUGGGUAGCAAACAGGAUUAGAUACCCUUGUAGUC